CAGUAGCCGCGGGAAUACAGAGGAUGCAAGCGUUAUCCGGAAUGAUUGGGCGUAAAGGGUGCGUAGGCGGUUUGACAAGUCUGAUGUGAAAUCUAUGGGCUCAACCCAUAGUCUGCAUUAGAAACUGUCGGGCUUGAGUAUGGGAGAGGUGAGUGGAAUUUCCGGUGUAGCGGUGAAAUGCGUAGAGAUGUGGAGGAACACCAGUGGCGAAGGCGACUCUCUGGUCUGUAACUGACGCUGAGGAGCGAAAGCGUGGGGAGCGAACAGGAUUAGAGACCCCAGUAGUCCCUGUCUCUUAUAC
RNAcentral lists this ribosomal RNA (301 nucleotides) under uncultured bacterium. RNAcentral describes it as "partial 16S ribosomal RNA". It matches the Rfam family "Bacterial small subunit ribosomal RNA", at positions 509 to 807 of the family's 1533-position model. The record is from RNAcentral.